Molecule: long non-coding RNA, 553 nt
Organism: Peromyscus eremicus (cactus mouse)
Lineage: Eukaryota; Metazoa; Chordata; Mammalia; Rodentia; Cricetidae
Exons: 2
Source: RefSeq, a predicted model, not a curated record
GCCACCCAGGGUUACCUUCUGUAUGACAAUGGCUCCCUGGUCCUGACUGAAUUUCUGCCGCCCAUUCUCCCGAAUCCUCUUAUCCCGUUCCUCCUCUUUCCGAAUCUCUCGCAUGAAGGUGGCUCGCAGUCGGCCCUGCCUGGCCCGCUCAGCACUUUGCACUAGAAUUAGGGCCUCGGUCCGGCCCAUUCCUCGAAAACUCUGACCAUAAGAGUGACAAAAGAAGAGGAAGCCAUGAGGAAACGCUGGUACCCAGGGUGACUGAGACAAAACGAACCCCAAGGAAUUGGAAUUUCCCCCAGGAAGAUCAUGGGGGAAGAAGGAAAGUGCUGGAAGCCUGCUGCCAGCCAGAGGGUGAGCUUGUGUCCCAGAAAAAGACACUUCAGAGUCGUGACAAUUGUUAGCCCACCGCGCAGGAAAGACGCAGACAACCGUGCUGGGUGGGCCUUUGAGGGGACUACUUAGUGAUGCAUAUUUCUGGUCCUCUAUGUAAACCUGAACCUCAUGUUAUGACCCUGAAGAUGAACUUGGAGUCACUUCUUUGUGCCUCUUC